AACGAACGCUGGCGGCAUGCCUAACACAUGCAAGUCGAACGCCCUGGGCAACCAGGGAGUGGCGGACGGGUGAGUAACGCGUGGGGACCUGCCUCGAAGUUCGGAAUAACCGCGGGAAACUGCGGCUAAUACCGGAUGUGGCCUGAGGGCCAAAGGGGAAACUCGCUUCGAGAGGGGCCCGCGUCCGAUUAGCUAGUUGGCGGGGUAACGGCCCACCAAGGCGACGAUCGGUAGCUGGUCUGAGAGGAUGAUCAGCCACACUGGGACUGAGACACGGCCCAGACUCCUACGGGAGGCAGCAGUGGGGAAUAUUGGACAAUGGGGGCAACCCUGAUCUAGCCAUGCCGCGUGAGUGAUGAAGGCCUUAGGGUUGUAAAGCUCUUUCAGCUGGGAAGAUAAUGACGGUACCAGCAGAAGAAGCCCCGGCUAACUCCGUGCCAGCCGCCGCGGUAACAC
RNAcentral lists this ribosomal RNA (456 nucleotides) under uncultured bacterium. RNAcentral's name for it is "bacterial SSU rRNA". It matches the Rfam family "Bacterial small subunit ribosomal RNA", at positions 29 to 526 of the family's 1533-position model. The record is from RNAcentral.